GCCGCGGUAAUACAGAGGGUGCAAGCGUUAAUCGGAAUUACUGGGCGUAAAGCGCGCGUAGGUGGUUAGUUAAGUUGGAUGUGAAAUCCCCGGGCUCAACCUGGGAACUGCAUUCAAAACUGACUAACUAGAGUAUGGUAGAGGGUGGUGGAAUUUCCUGUGUAGCGGUGAAAUGCGUAGAUAUAGGAAGGAACACCAGUGGCGAAGGCGACCACCUGGACUGAUACUGACACUGAGGUGCG
RNAcentral lists this ribosomal RNA (242 nucleotides) under Escherichia coli. Its description in RNAcentral is "partial 16S ribosomal RNA". It matches the Rfam family "Bacterial small subunit ribosomal RNA", at positions 514 to 755 of the family's 1533-position model. The record is from RNAcentral. Lineage: Bacteria; Pseudomonadati; Pseudomonadota; Gammaproteobacteria; Enterobacterales; Enterobacteriaceae.